Molecule: ribosomal RNA, 251 nt
Filed under: uncultured Bacteroidota bacterium
Lineage: Bacteria; Pseudomonadati; Bacteroidota
Description: uncultured Bacteroidetes bacterium partial 16S ribosomal RNA
Rfam family: Bacterial small subunit ribosomal RNA
Source: RNAcentral
GGUGGCGACCGGCGGACGGGUGCGUAACGCGUAUGCAACCUGCCUGACACAGGGGGAUAAUCCGAAGAAAUUUGGUCUAAUACCCCAUAAUACCGAUAUAGGCAUCUAUGUUGGUUGAAAGCUUUGGUGGUGUCAGAUGGGCAUGCGUUGUAUUAGCUAGUUGGUGAGGUAACGGCUCACCAAGGCGACGAUACAUAGGGGGACUGAGAGGUUAACCCCCCACACUGGUACUGAGACACGGACCAGACUCC